UACGAAGGGUGCAAGCGUUGUUCGGAAUUACUGGGCGUAAAGGGUUUGUAGGCAGAAAUGUAAGUCAAGUGUGAAAUCCCCGAGCUUAACUUGGGACGUGCAUUUGAAACUGUGUUUCUUGAGACUCGGAGAGGGUGGUGGAAUUGUAGGUGUAGGAGUGACAUCCGUAGAGAUCUGCAGGAACAUCAGAGGCGAAAGCGACCACCUGGCCGGAGUCUGACGCUGAGGAACGAAAGCGUGGGGAGCAAACAGG
This 253-nucleotide ribosomal RNA is filed under the name uncultured bacterium. Its description in RNAcentral is "partial 16S ribosomal RNA". It matches the Rfam family "Bacterial small subunit ribosomal RNA", at positions 524 to 776 of the family's 1533-position model. The record is from RNAcentral.